This 374-nucleotide unclassified non-coding RNA is filed under the name soil metagenome. Its description in RNAcentral is "partial contains 5.8S ribosomal RNA, internal transcribed spacer 2, and large subunit ribosomal RNA". The stretch from base 1 to 120 matches the Rfam family "5.8S ribosomal RNA", at positions 35 to 154 of the family's 154-position model. The record is from RNAcentral.
GAUGAAGAACGCAGCGAAAUGCGAUAAGUAAUGUGAAUUGCAGAAUUCAGUGAAUCAUCGAAUCUUUGAACGCAUCUUGCGCUCCUUGGUAUUCUGAGGAGCAUGCCUGUUUGAGUGUCAUUAAAUUCUCAACUACACUGACUUUGAAUUGGUGUGGCUUGGAUUUGGGGGGAAAAUUGUUGUGGGCUUUUUGUAUAGUCUGCUCCCCUGAAAUUGAUUAGCGGUACCUUUGUGGAACUGUCUACAGGUGUGAUAAUUAUCUACAUCUUAGACAUCUGCUGGAAUGCUGCUCUAAACCUUACUUGUAUUGACAAUCUUGACCUCAAAUCAGGUAGGACUACCCGCUGAACUUAAGCAUAUCAAUAAGCGGAGGA